AGAAUGGUUGGAAAUCAUUCGCAGAGUGUAAAGGCACAAGGGAGCUUGACUGCGAGACCUACAAGUCGAGCAGGGACGAAAGUCGGGCUUAGUGAUCCGGUGGUUCCGCAUGGAAGGGCCAUCGCUCAACGGAUAAAAGCUACCCCGGGGAUAACAGGCUUAUCUCCCCCAAGAGGCCACAUCGACGGGGAGGUUUGGCACCUCGAUGUCGGCUCAUCGCAUCCUGGGGCUGUAGUCGGUCCCAAGGGUUGGGCUGUUCGCCCAUUAAAGCGGUACGCGAGCUGGGUUCAGAACGUCGUGAGGCAGUUCGGUCCCUAUCCGUCGCGGGCGCAGGAAAUUUGAGAGGAGCUGUCCUUAGUACGAGAGGACCGGGAUGGACGCACCGCUGGUGUACCAGUUGUUCUGCCAAGGGCAUCGCUGGGUAGCUAUGUGCGGACGGGAUAAGUGCUGAAAGCAUCUAAGCAUGAAGCCCCCCUCAAGAUGAGAUUUCCCAUUCCGCAAGGAAGUAAGAUCCCUGAAAGAUGAUCAGGUUGAUAGGUCUGAGGUGGAAGUGUGGCGACACAUGGAGCUGACAGAUACUAAUCGAUCGAGGACUUAACCAAUUU
This 605-nucleotide ribosomal RNA is filed under the name Bacillus velezensis. RNAcentral's name for it is "bacterial LSU rRNA". It matches the Rfam family "Bacterial large subunit ribosomal RNA", at positions 2324 to 2925 of the family's 2925-position model. The record is from RNAcentral. Lineage: Bacteria; Bacillati; Bacillota; Bacilli; Caryophanales; Bacillaceae.